ACCCGCUGAACUUAAGCAUAUCAAUAAGCGGAGGAAAAGAAACCAACAGGGAUUGCCCUAGUAACGGCGAGUGAAGCGGCAACAGCUCAAAUUUGAAAUCUGGCGUCUUUGGCGUCCGAGUUGUAAUUUGCAGAGGGCGCUUUGGCAUCGGCAGCGGUCCAAGUUCCUUGGAACAGGACGUCACAGAGGGUGAGAAUCCCGUACGUGAUCGCUAGCCUUUAUCGUGUAAAGCCCCUUCGACGAGUCGAGUUGUUUGGGAAUGCAGCUCUAAAUGGGAGGUAAAUUUCUUCUAAAGCUAAAUACUGGCCAGAGACCGAUAGCGCACAAGUAGAGUGAUCGAAAGAUGAAAAGCACUUUGGAAAGAGAGUUAAAAAGCACGUGAAAUUGUUGAAAGGGAAGCGCUUGCAGCCAGACUUGCCUGUAGUUGCUCAUCCGGGUUUUUACCCGGUGCACUCUUCUAUAGGCAGGCCAGCAUCAGUUUGGGCGGUUGGAUAAAGGUCUCUGUCAUGUACCUCUCUUCGGGGAGAACUUAUAGGGGAGACGACAUGCAACCAGCCUGGACUGAGGUCCGCGCAUCUGCUAGGAUGCUGGCGUAAUGGCUGU
Molecule: ribosomal RNA, 603 nt
Filed under: uncultured fungus
Lineage: Eukaryota; Fungi
Description: eukaryotic LSU rRNA
Rfam family: Eukaryotic large subunit ribosomal RNA
Source: RNAcentral